CUAAAAUCCAUCUCAUAAACACCUUUCUGUAUAUUCUUAUAAUUGAUGGAGGCCUUGAUUCAUCAGGCAACUCAAGUGCAUAAUGAACUUUAGGCACAUGCAGACUGCUUUUGAAUCAAUGGGGUAAUUCAUGUGCUCAAAUUUAGGCACAUGUUUCAUUACCUGGCUGAACCAUGGCCCAAAGCCAUUCACUUAAUGUUAGGGCUGUUUUAUUUUAUAAAUAGCAUUAUUAACAUCCUGCCUUUUCUAUUUGUAUGCAAAAUAUAAUGUACAUAUUUUGCAUAGCUGAAGCUAACUAUAAGGUCAUAAUGGUGCACUAAACAGGCAAAAAGUGUUAAAUAACUUGGGUUUAGUGAGGGGUUCUGAGAGUGAUUAUUAAACGAUUGAUUGAUUGGCAGAUUGGUCUAACAGAGUAGCAGUGAGAUGAUUUGAUAGCCCAGUUUCAUUACAAAUAGUGCUCUUACCCACCUUUAGCCUUGCCUUUAACACACUCAAACACACACCGUUUUUAUGAGGUGGACUUUGAACUAUCUUUCAGUAGUUAUUCAGAAAGGCACAAUGCAUGUAUUAUGUGACUAUUCAUUGCAGCGAAGUUAGCACAUAAUAAUUUACAAUUUUAUGGAACUGCUAGGAUUAGCUAUGUAUCAUCUAUUUUUAAUACACAUCAUUGUGGAAUGUGAGCAAUAAUGAAUGUAUUUAAAUAAAUCAAAAAAGCCAAAUGAAUGCUGAGUUGUUGUCAAUCACUUGCAGAUGAGCCUACCCUGGUGAAAAGAUAUAAUAGAGGUAUUUCUGAUGAUGAUUUAUGGAGUCAACCAGCAUCAUUCUAGAACAACUGACACUUUUCCAGCACAGGGCUAUACAGGGCUCAGCAGGCAGCUGAAGGAAGAUUGGGCUAAAGGACAACUGUGUAUCCUGCAGUCUGUAUACAGAUUUGAAAUCUGCUUUGGACAUCUGCAGCACACAGUUUGGCAGAUCUUGGGACUUUGCCUUGUGGCAGAAAAUGCCAAAAAGGAAUGCAAGAUUAAUUCUACUCAUGGCUGCCGCAGCACCUUAAUCUGUGUGUGUCUGGGUGAAGAAUACUGUGUUCAACUUCCCUUUCCUGGAUGUUGCACUGUGUUGAUCACUGCCCUGCCUCUGCAAAUCCUAUUUGAAAAUCUCAUUUGCAGCAUAACUGACAACAAAGGCGUUACAUGGUGUAUGCCCUGCAUAUUCUGCAGACUACUCCUUGUCUUUUUUCAUAUGCAAAGCAUGCAUCAGCCACAUCCAUGCUAUCUCCUAAAGCAGCCAUUCUGAAACCCAAUCUGGGGACAGUGCAGACUAAAUAAAAUUUCAUUUUGAUUUGGCCUCCCGCUGAGA
This 1356-nucleotide long non-coding RNA is filed under the name Struthio camelus australis. RNAcentral describes it as "lncRNA (ENSSCUG00000008156.1)". Lineage: Eukaryota; Metazoa; Chordata; Aves; Struthioniformes; Struthionidae. The record is from RNAcentral.